This 72-nucleotide transfer RNA is filed under the name Marmota marmota marmota (Alpine marmot). It matches the Rfam family "tRNA". From Rfam's summary of the family: Transfer RNA (tRNA) molecules are approximately 80 nucleotides in length. Their secondary structure includes four short double-helical elements and three loops (D, anti-codon, and T loops). RNAcentral also lists the same sequence under 1 other name. The record is from Rfam by way of RNAcentral. Lineage: Eukaryota; Metazoa; Chordata; Mammalia; Rodentia; Sciuridae.
GGGGAUAUAACUCAGUGGUAGAAUACUUGCCUGGCAUGUAUGAGACCCUAGGUUCAAUCCCUAGUACCACCA